CCUACGGGGGGCUGCAGUGGGGAAUAUUGGACAAUGGGGGCAACCCUGAUCCAGCCAUGCCGCGUGUGUGAAGAAGGCCCUCGGGUUGUAAAGCACUUUCAGUGAGGAAGAACGCCUGGUGGUUAAUACCCAUCAGGAAAGACAUCACUCACAGAAGAAGCACCGGCUAACUCCGUGCCAGCAGCCGCGGUAAUACGGAGGGUGCGAGCGUUAAUCGGAAUUACUGGGCGUAAAGCGCGCGUAGGUGGCUUGAUAAGCCGGUUGUGAAAGCCCCGGGCUCAACCUGGGAACGGCAUCCGGAACUGUCAAGCUAGAGUGCAGGAGAGGAAGGUAGAAUUCCCGGUGUAGCGGUGAAAUGCGUAGAGAUCGGGAGGAAUACCAGUGGCGAAGGCGGCCUUCUGGACUGACACUGACACUGAGAUGCGAAAGCGUGGGUAGCAAACAGGAUUAGAUACCCUGGUAGUC
This 465-nucleotide ribosomal RNA is filed under the name Vreelandella stevensii. RNAcentral describes it as "partial 16S ribosomal RNA". It matches the Rfam family "Bacterial small subunit ribosomal RNA", at positions 338 to 795 of the family's 1533-position model. The record is from RNAcentral. Lineage: Bacteria; Pseudomonadati; Pseudomonadota; Gammaproteobacteria; Oceanospirillales; Halomonadaceae.